Molecule: long non-coding RNA, 1533 nt
Filed under: Homo sapiens (human)
Lineage: Eukaryota; Metazoa; Chordata; Mammalia; Primates; Hominidae
Description: non-protein coding lnc-SRRD-1:4
Source: RNAcentral
CGGCCGGCUGGGAUCUUAGAUAGGAGGGGUGGAUUUGCAAGGCCUAGAAUAGCUGGGGAGUGGUUUCCCCGCGGAAUCGGCCUCCCUGCCGCUCCUGCUUUGUACUGUGACGCUCAGCCUGUGAUGACUGGUGUGGAAUCCGCUGAGCCACCUUGGCCUAAGGAGACUUUACCACUCUGAGAUUGUAAAUCUGUAAAAUAGAGAUGUAGGAUUAGCCCAUACGGUAGUUGUGGUAAAUACUGUGAGACAAUAAGGGGCCUGGGACACAGCAUUCAAAUGGGAAUAAUGAAGGUCAAGACUGUGAUUCCUGUAUCUUUGACGCUCUCGGUAUAAGCACCGUCGUGGGCACAGGGCAGUGGCCUUUAUGCAGGAGUUUAAGAGGGAAUGAAGGAAUGAAUGGGCAAACUCUGGAGUUCCCAAGUAUUCUCUCCAGGAGCUGUUUCCAUUCUUUUCGUUUCCAGCAGAUUCAAGAGGCAAUUGUUGGAAUGUAAAAAGAGCACGGGACUUGGAGUCAAAUACUUAAGUCUACCAUCAAGUAGUUGUUAAGAAUUAAACAACAAUUUUUGUGUACCCAGUUAAAUGUGGGCUGCUUAGGAAUGAUGACUGUGUCUUAAUGAUCUCUGUAUUCUUAGUGACAUGUAGAAUCAUUGUGCCUGACACAUAGUAUGUACUCAGGAAAGAAAUGGAAAAUGUGGUUUUAGCAUUGAAGGCCGGGAGAGAGGGUCUAACAGACUACAAGCCCUGCCAGGAGCAGAGUAAGGGAAACAGAGGAGAAAAGUGUUUUUAGUCUGUGCCUGAAUGUAUUUACAUCUGUUUGUAGCCCAAAAGCCAAAAGCAUACAUACGCUUGGCUUUUCUGUAGCUAUGUUUAUGGCUUUACAGCAGAUUUUAUGGAGCUGCAAUUACUUUGAUCAUGAGGGACUGAUGCUAGUGGAUUUACUUCACCAAAUGGAACUCACUUUGUGGCUUCUGAAGAAGGGACCUUUGUGGACUGUCAUGGAGUAGUUAAGAGUGCAGGCUCUGAUUUAGUGAUCAGAGUCUGCAUUGUCAGGAAUGGGACAAAGUGAAGUUAUGUGGCACUUGAUAGGAUGCCCUGAGAAGAUUGCAACAUCACCCCUGUGAUAUUCCUGCUGAAGAUCCAUAACCUGGAUGUAAUCAUGAGGAUAUAUCAGACAAACCCACGUAAAGAGACAUGCUGUAUACAAAACUGUAAUCUUAGAAAGUGCCAAGGUCAUGAAAAUCAAAGAUAGACCCUGGAACUGUUCCAAACUGGAGGGGACCAAAGAGGCAUGACAACUAAACACAACACAUGAUUCUGAACUGGAUCUUUUUGCUUGAAAGGAAGUUACAGGGACAGUUGGAAAAGUUUAAAUGGGGCCUACAAUGCCGUGGUAAUGAUGUGUCCGUGUUAAUUUCCUGAUUUUCAUGGUUGCCUGUUAAGUUACAUCAGAGGAUGUUCUUGUUUGCUGGAAAGUAAAUCAAUGUAUUUGGCAGGGGAUAAGGCAUCAAAUGGUCACCUUAAUUUCAAAUUAUU